GCAAUCAUAAGAGGCACCGACCUCGGAAAUUGACCGCUCACACUAAACCAAUUCAGCUGGCCUAGAGAAAGGUCCAGGCAACAAAGAGCCCGCAAAACGCUCGAGAGAAGACAACCCAUAAAUACUCAGGGGCAAAAAACAUACACGAGAGUCCAACGCUCAGACAAAAAUAAUAAAAAGGCAAGAAAGGGAUACUUUCGACAAGAGCAGUUCUCAGACCGCACGGUCAUGAAUAGAGUUUAAAGAUUUAUCCCCUCACCAGUCAUGGAAUAACUGCUGAGGAAAUAAAGGGGCAAUUGAUGAUCGCUGGAUUUCUUCACCCCGGUAUAAAGGCCAGGCCCAUGAAAACAGUCCAUGAUCCGAAGGCUUCAAUAUUCCCCUCGAGAGCCAGGUCCAGCCCGCUCAGUCACAGGGCCGGACUCCGCCUAGACUCCUCAAUCAAACCGGCCCAAACCUCUCGGCCCAGUAAUCAGGCCCUCACCCGGCUCAACUUCAGCCCUACCAUUCAACCCAGCCCGGAAAGGGGAAAAUGACCAAGAUGCCCCGCUGGUAGGUCCUUCCGCAUGCGUAUCAGAGGAGAAUCAUACGUAUCAGAGGAUAAUUAAUGGCCGUUACGCAUGGAGCAGGCGCCUGACACAUCCGUACAUACGGAGCUAGGCGACAGAAGACAGCUAGCAUUGUGGCAGAGAGACAGAUAUAUAUAUCACGGUAGAGGCCACGCAGAGGGGGGCUCUCAUCUUCUUCUUCUUUCUCCUUCCUGGACACCAUUUUUAU
Molecule: long non-coding RNA, 774 nt
Filed under: Manihot esculenta (cassava)
Lineage: Eukaryota; Viridiplantae; Streptophyta; Magnoliopsida; Malpighiales; Euphorbiaceae
Description: long non-coding RNA (MESC_LNC011805)
Source: RNAcentral